CCCUUAGAUGUUCUGGGCCGCACGCGUGCUACACUGAGUGGAUCAGCGGGUCAGGUUGCGCGAAAGCGUUUCCUAAUCUUUAAAUCCGCUCGUGAUGGGGAUUGACGGUUGCAAUUUUCUGUCAUGAACGAGGAAUACCUUGUAAGCGCAGGUCAUCAUCCCGCGCUGAAUACGUCCCUGCCCUUUGUACACACCGCCCGUCGCUCCUACCGAUUGAGUGGUCCGGUGAGGCUUUGGGAUCUGAGCGGAAAGAGCGUUUCGCUGUUUCUGCCCGGAAAACUCAGUCGAACCUUAUCAAUUAGAGGAAGGAGAAGUCGUAACA
This 322-nucleotide ribosomal RNA is filed under the name uncultured eukaryote. RNAcentral's name for it is "partial 18S ribosomal RNA". It matches the Rfam family "Eukaryotic small subunit ribosomal RNA", at positions 1470 to 1796 of the family's 1831-position model. The record is from RNAcentral.